GAUGAAGAACGUAGCGAAAUGCGAUAAGUAGUGUGAAUUGCAGAAUUCAGUGAAUCAUCGAAUCUUUGAACGCACAUUGCGCCCCUUGGUAUCCCGAGGGGCAUGCCUGUUCGAGCGUCAUUUCACCACUCAAGCCUGGCUUGGUGUUGGGCGACGUCCCCUUAGGGGACGCGCCUCGAAACGCUCGGCGGCGUGGCACCGGCUUUAAGCGUAGCAGAAUCUUUCGCUUUGGAAGUCGGGGCCCCGUCUGCCGGAAGACCUACUCGCAAGGUUGACCUCGGAUCAGGCAGGGAUACCCGCUGAACUUAAGCAUAUCAAUAAGCGGAGGA
RNAcentral lists this unclassified non-coding RNA (329 nucleotides) under soil metagenome. RNAcentral describes it as "partial contains 5.8S ribosomal RNA, internal transcribed spacer 2, and large subunit ribosomal RNA". The stretch from base 1 to 120 matches the Rfam family "5.8S ribosomal RNA", at positions 35 to 154 of the family's 154-position model. The record is from RNAcentral.